UACUUCCUGCGAUGUACGUGUCGGCUUCAUUGUUUUGAACCAAUGUUUGUUUCUUUGGGAGUCCUAGAUCGAAGUGCAGCUGGCAAGCCCUCUCGAAGGGAAGUCAAAAGCAUUUUUGCGGACACCCACCUGCCAGAGCAGGUUCAGAAGCAUUAGAGCCAAACGGCAUAGGCGGGUUUUCC
RNAcentral lists this non-coding RNA (182 nucleotides) under Paenibacillus popilliae ATCC 14706. RNAcentral describes it as "6S / SsrS RNA". It matches the Rfam family "6S / SsrS RNA". From Rfam's summary of the family: E. coli 6S RNA was the first non coding RNA to be sequenced, but its function was unknown until recently. It consists of 184 nucleotides that fold into an extended hairpin structure with a large single-stranded internal bulge. Lineage: Bacteria; Bacillati; Bacillota; Bacilli; Caryophanales; Paenibacillaceae. The record is from Rfam by way of RNAcentral.